This 581-nucleotide long non-coding RNA is filed under the name Homo sapiens (human). RNAcentral's name for it is "novel transcript, sense intronic to MAPK1IP1L". Lineage: Eukaryota; Metazoa; Chordata; Mammalia; Primates; Hominidae. The record is from RNAcentral.
CUUUUUUUUUUUUUUUUUUUUUUUUUUUUUUGAGACAGUCUUGCUCUGUCACCCAGGCAAGAGUGCAGUCUCUCGGCUCGCUGCAAUCUCUACCUCUCAGGUUCAAGCGAUUCUCCUGAGUAGCUGGGAUUACAGGCGUGUGCCACCACACCGGCUCAUUUUUGUAUUUUUAGUAGAGAUGGAGUUUCACCAUGUUGGCCAGGCUGGUCUUGAACUCCUGACCUCAAGUGAUCCGCCUGCUUCAGCCUCCCAAAGUGCUGGGAUUACAGGCCUGAGCCACCAUGCCCAGCCAGGAAAAAAAAAAAAUCUGUUAACUCUUAGUACGAAAAUAACUAGCCAGAUCUCUGAUUAGAUUAGUCAAACAUCCAAUCCAGCUAUAAAGGAAAAGAAAUCUUUAAAGUACCCCUAAAACUUCCUCCUUGCAUUAGUGUAAUUUCUUUCUUGCUAUAUAUAUUAUCUAAAAAUAUUUGUUUUGCAAAGUGUAUGCCAGAGUAAAUGAUGUGACUUGCUGUUUGGAUUUAUUAAGCAAUAAAUUUACUUUAAGCCACAGUAAGGAGUUAAUAAACUCCAUUUGCAAAAUC